CCAGAAAGUAUAUUAAUACUUUCUUUGUCUGAAGAUUAGUGGUCUCUGCACUACACCAUCCUGUCUUCCCCAAAAGCUCAAACUGGAUGCACAUAUCUCAGUGUACAAACUCAGGCAUUGCAACAGGGCCUGCCGUCCAGGGCCCCCCUGCUUGAGACAGGGGGGAGUAAGUAGGGGAAUACCAAGAGAAAAACCC
This is a non-coding RNA of Microcebus murinus (gray mouse lemur), 196 nucleotides long. The record is from RefSeq and is a predicted model, not a curated record. NCBI's taxonomy places the organism in Eukaryota, Metazoa, Chordata, Mammalia, Primates, Cheirogaleidae.